ACGCUCGACACCUACGGGAGGCAGCAGUCGGGAAUAUUGCGCAAUGGGAGGAAACUCUGACGCAGUGACGCCGCGUAUGGGAAGAAGGUUUUCGGAUUGUAAACCAUUUUAGACAAGGAAGAAACAAGACAGUAACUUGUAGAAUAAGCUCCGGCUAACCUACGUGCCAACAGCCGCGGUAAUCUGAGCGGGCUGGCAAGGC
RNAcentral lists this ribosomal RNA (202 nucleotides) under uncultured bacterium. RNAcentral's name for it is "partial 16S ribosomal RNA". It matches the Rfam family "Bacterial small subunit ribosomal RNA", at positions 328 to 539 of the family's 1533-position model. The record is from RNAcentral.